Molecule: ribosomal RNA, 472 nt
Filed under: uncultured bacterium
Lineage: Bacteria
Description: bacterial SSU rRNA
Rfam family: Bacterial small subunit ribosomal RNA
Source: RNAcentral
CUUACGCACUCCUACGGGAGGCAGCAGUGGGGAAUAUUGCACAAUGGGCGCAAGCCUGAUGCAGCCAUGCCGCGUGUAUGAAGAAGGCCUUCGGGUUGUAAAGUACUUUCAGCAGUGAGGAAGGUGGGUAUGUUAAUAGCAUACUCAUUUGACGUUAGCUGCAGAAGAAGCACCGGCUAACUCCGUGCCAGCAGCCGCGGUAAUACGGAGGGUGCGAGCGUUAAUCGGAAUUACUGGGCGUAAAGCGCAUGCAGGUGGUUUGUUAAGUCAGAUGUGAAAGCCCGGGGCUCAACCUCGGAAUUGCAUUUGAAACUGGCAAACUAGAGUACUGUAGAGGGGGUAGAAUUUCAGGUGUAGCGGUGAAAUGCGUAGAGAUCUGAAGGAAUACCGGUGGCGAAGGCGGCCCCCUGGACAGAUACUGACACUCAGAUGCGAAAGCGUGGGGAGCAAACAGGAUUAGAUACCCUGGUAG